UAUGAUAUUUCCUCGACCGUU
Molecule: non-coding RNA, 21 nt
Filed under: Caenorhabditis elegans
Lineage: Eukaryota; Metazoa; Nematoda; Chromadorea; Rhabditida; Rhabditidae
Source: RNAcentral